This 292-nucleotide ribosomal RNA is filed under the name uncultured bacterium. Its description in RNAcentral is "partial 16S ribosomal RNA". It matches the Rfam family "Bacterial small subunit ribosomal RNA", at positions 505 to 796 of the family's 1533-position model. The record is from RNAcentral.
GUGCCAGCAGCCGCGGUAAUACGAAGGGGGCUAGCGUUGUUCGGAAUGACUGGGCGUAAAGGGCGCGUAGGCGGCGCAUCAAGUCGGGCGUGAAAGCCCCGGGCUCAACCUGGGAACGGCGUCCGGGACUGAUGUGCUGGAGUUCGGGAGAGGAGAGUGGAAUUCCCAGUGUAGAGGUGAAAUUCGUAGAUAUUGGGAAGAACACCGAUGGCGAAGGCAGCUCUCUGGACCGACACUGACGCUGAGGCGCGAAAGCGUGGGGAGCAAACAGGAUUAGAAACCCUUGUAGUCC